Molecule: ribosomal RNA, 390 nt
Filed under: uncultured bacterium
Lineage: Bacteria
Description: bacterial SSU rRNA
Rfam family: Bacterial small subunit ribosomal RNA
Source: RNAcentral
GACGAACGCUGGCGGCGUGCUUAACACAUGCAAGUCGAGCGGUAAGGCCCUUUCGGGGGUACACGAGCGGCGAACGGGUGAGUAACACGUGGGUGACCUGCCUUUAGCUCUGGGAUAAGCCUGGGAAACCGGGUCUAAUACCGGAUAUGACUCCGCGGCGCAUGUUGUGGGGUGGAAAGCCUUGUGCGGCUGGAGAUGGGCCCGCGGCCUAUCAGCUUGUUGGUGGGGUGAUGGCCUACCAAGGCGACGACGGGUAGCCGGCCUGAGAGGGCGACCGGCCACACUGGGACUGAGACACGGCCCAGACUCCUACGGGAGGCAGCAGUGGGGAAUCUUGCGCAAUGAGCGAAAGCUUGACGCAGCGACGCCGCGUGAGGGAAGAAGGCCUUC